Molecule: unclassified non-coding RNA, 208 nt
Filed under: uncultured fungus
Lineage: Eukaryota; Fungi
Description: sequence contains ITS1
Source: RNAcentral
GUAUUAAGUUUUGUUGACCAUUCAAGGCCACAAUUAGACAUUCAAUAAACUUUUUAGGGGUGUGUUAAAACAUAGGCAACAGACUUUUUACAUCUGCACCUACAAUAAGUUCACAGGUGUAUUGAAAAGGUGGAGUGCACAUGCCCCGAAAGGCCAGCAACAUCCUUUGGAUUCAAUAAUGAUCCUUCCGCAGGUUCACCUACGGAAA